RNAcentral lists this ribosomal RNA (499 nucleotides) under uncultured bacterium. Its description in RNAcentral is "partial 16S ribosomal RNA". It matches the Rfam family "Bacterial small subunit ribosomal RNA", at positions 28 to 507 of the family's 1533-position model. The record is from RNAcentral.
GACGAACGCUGGCGGCGUGCUUAACACAUGCAAGUCGAACGGGCCCGCUCUCUUUUUUGGGGGUGGGUUGAGUGGCGAACGGGUGAGUAUCACGUGAGUAACCUGCCCCCUGCUCCUGGAUAACUGCUUGAAAGGGCGGCUAAUACGGGGUGUGCCGGCUGGUCCGCAUGGGCCCGGCCGGGUUAGUUUCAUCUUCGGGUGUUUCGGCGGGGGCUGGGCUCGCGGCCUAUCAGCUUGCUGGUGGGGUGAUGGCCCACCCGGGCGGUGGCGGGUAGCCGGCCUGAGAGGGUGGGCGGGCAAACUGGGAGUGAGACACGGCCGAGGCUGCUGCGGGAGGCAGCAGUGGGGGGUAUUGCACAAUGGGCGGAAGCCUGACGCAGCGACGUCGCGUGGGGGAUGGAGGCGCUCGGGUUGGGAACCUCUUUCUCCGGUGGUGAAGGCCCUGUCCGGUGCGGCGGGGUUGACGGUAGCCGGGAAUGAAGCGCCGGCUAACUACGUG